AGAUGCAGAAUAUCGAUGAAGCUUGAUCCAUACUGUAAUGGAAAAUUGUAUUGAUUCGGAUCACACUUGUGAUAUAUGGUAUCUGAUGCUUCCUCAUAAACAAUUUUUUCUUGAAUGGUGGUAGAUAAACUUGAAUAUGACUCUUGGGCAUUAAUAGUUCUGCACAGCAAAGAAGUAUCAUGAGAAUUUCUGGGGGAGGAUUUGGUGAAUAAUAUCAAGAAAGUUCAGAAUACUUAUAUGUUGGUUGUUAGUCACAGAUCUAUGGGUAGAUUUGAGGUUGACAUUCUAUAUUUUUUCAGCUUGUGACCUCUGUUUGAUUUUUCACACUAUAUUUUCAUCCAUUUGGUUGAACUUAUAUUUUCUGCUCUUUUUUUCAAUAUUUAUCUUGCGUCCAGGCUAUGAUGAAAGAUCAAUUCGCCAAUUAUGUCGUACAGAAAGUGCUCGAGACAUGUAAUGAUCAGCAGCGUGAGCUGAUACUGUCAAGAAUAAAAGUUCAUCUGAAUGCACUGAAGAAGUACACAUAUGGGAAGCAUAUCGUAGCUCGUGUAGAGAAACUUGUUGCAGCUGGAGAAAGGAGAAUUGCUGCCCAGUCUUCAUAUCCUGCUUAGAUGUUUUAGGAAAGAAAGUUGCUGUACAGCUAACUGAGGCUAGUUUGAGCUGCCUCUAUCUCUUUCAUCUCUUUCUUCUGUAUGUGGUGCUCCGCUCCUACCUGUCUUUCAGGAAGGUACGAGUGAAUUGCAAAUAAAGGUGUUGCCUUGCACUAAAAACUAGAAAUGUACAUUCUGUAGUUUUGAGUUUAUACAUAGUCUAGUAAGCUGCGGCUCAGAGGUUGAAGGUUCUUGGUGCUCCACUGCCAAGGAGCGACGAAAGACAAGUUUUAAGGGUGUAAAGUUGAUAAAAGGGUGAGGUAGUAUACAUUGCUGCGUGACUGUACAAAUGAUGCCAUGUGGAGAGUUGGUUAUCUAGGCGAGGCCAAGGCUAUCAUGUAUGCUAUUUUCUGAUUUAGCCAAUACAUUCAGUUCUUCAAAUUUGCGCAUAUUCUGGUUUUCUGGUGUGCUUUGGUUUUAUUGCUUCUAUCAUGCAUCUGAA
This is a long non-coding RNA of Olea europaea var. sylvestris, 1089 nucleotides long. RefSeq lists it as uncharacterized. The record is from RefSeq and is a predicted model, not a curated record. The transcript is spliced from 2 exons. NCBI's taxonomy places the organism in Eukaryota, Viridiplantae, Streptophyta, Magnoliopsida, Lamiales, Oleaceae.